This 1546-nucleotide ribosomal RNA is filed under the name Colletotrichum higginsianum IMI 349063. Its description in RNAcentral is "SSU rRNA". It matches the Rfam family "Eukaryotic small subunit ribosomal RNA", at positions 3 to 1586 of the family's 1831-position model. The record is from RNAcentral. Lineage: Eukaryota; Fungi; Ascomycota; Sordariomycetes; Glomerellales; Glomerellaceae.
CCUGGUUGAUUCUGCCAGUAGUCAUAUGCUUGUCUCAAAGAUUAAGCCAUGCAUGUCUAAGUAUAAGCAAUUAUACAGCGAAACUGCGAAUGGCUCAUUAUAUAAGUUAUCGUUUAUUUGAUAGUACCUUACUACUUGGAUAACCGUGGUAAUUCUAGAGCUAAUACAUGCUAAAAAUCCCGACUUCGGAAGGGAUGUAUUUAUUAGAUUAAAAACCAAUGCCCUUCGGGGCUCACUGGUGAUUCAUAAUAACUUCUCGAAUCGCAUGGCCUUGCGCCGGCGAUGGUUCAUUCAAAUUUCUUCCCUAUCAACUUUCGAUGCUAGAGUAGUGUUCUAGCAUGGUUACAACGGGUAACGGAGGGUUAGGGCUCGACCCCGGAGAAGGAGCCUGAGAAACGGCUACUACAUCCAAGGAAGGCAGCAGGCGCGCAAAUUACCCAAUCCCGACACGGGGAGGUAGUGACGAUAAAUACUGAUACAGGGCUCUUUUGGGUCUUGUAAUUGGAAUGAGUACAAUUUAAAUCCCUUAACGAGGAACAAUUGGAGGGCAAGUCUGGUGCCAGCAGCCGCGGUAAUUCCAGCUCCAAUAGCGUAUAUUAAAGUUGUUGUGGUUAAAAAGCUCGUAGUAGAACCUUGGGCCUGGCUGGCCGGUCCGCCUCACCGCGUGCACUGGUCCGGCCGGGCCUUUCCCUCUGUGGAACCGCAUGCCCUUCACUGGGUGUGCCGGGGAAACAGGACUUUUACUUUGAAAAAAUUAGAGUGCUCCAGGCAGGCCUAUGCUCGAAUACAUUAGCAUGGAAUAAUAGAAUAGGACGUGUGGUUCUAUUUUGUUGGUUUCUAGGACCGCCGUAAUGAUUAAUAGGGACAGUCGGGGGCAUCAGUAUUCAAUUGUCAGAGGUGAAAUUCUUGGAUUUAUUGAAGACUAACUACUGCGAAAGCAUUUGCCAAGGAUGUUUUCAUUUAUCAGGAACGAAAGUUAGGGGAUCGAAGACGAUCAGAUACCGUCGUAGUCUUAACCAUAAACUAUGCCGACUAGGGAUCGGACGAUGUUAUUUUUUUGACUCGUUCGGCACCUUACGAGAAAUCAAAGUGCUUGGGCUCCAGGGGGAGUAUGGUCGCAAGGCUGAAACUUAAAGAAAUUGACGGAAGGGCACCACCAGGGGUGGAGCCUGCGGCUUAAUUUGACUCAACACGGGGAAACUCACCAGGUCCAGACACAAUGAGGAUUGACAGAUUGAGAGCUCUUUCUUGAUUUUGUGGGUGGUGGUGCAUGGCCGUUCUUAGUUGGUGGAGUGAUUUGUCUGCUUAAUUGCGAUAACGAACGAGACCUUAACCUGCUAAAUAGCCCGUAUUGCUUUGGCAGUACGCCGGCUUCUUAGAGGGACUAUCGGCUCAAGCCGAUGGAAGUUUGAGGCAAUAACAGGUCUGUGAUGCCUUAGAUGUUCUGGGCCGCACGCGCGUUACACUGACGGAGCCAGCGAGUACUCCUUGGCCGGAAGGCCCGGGUAAUCUUGUUAAACUCCGUCGUGCUGGGGAUAGAGCAUUG